Ictalurus punctatus (channel catfish) is the source of this 1976-nucleotide long non-coding RNA. The record is from Ensembl. Lineage: Eukaryota; Metazoa; Chordata; Actinopteri; Siluriformes; Ictaluridae.
UUUAACGGGGGUUAAAUAAGGAAUAAAAUCUUAGUUUUUUUUAUUUUUUUAUUCGUCUUGGAUACGACAGCAAUUUUUAGCCAUAUUUAACUGCGAAACUGGUUCCUGUGAACUAUGCUCGCUUCUUUCCCAGGACUGCCCCAAAGUGCUGACACUGGAGACUCCUUCCGUAAACAUCCCUGUGAACGGACUACAGAAACGAUAACCAGGAUGCUAAAAUCAAACUGUGAUUUGCAGCUGGAACGACUGUUGUUAAUCGACACCUCCCAACCAAUCGGAACCGAGAAUGAGACAGCGCCGUGAUGUAUCCGAAACAUUUGUCCGAGUAAUAAAAAAAACAGUCUCUGGUUUACGCAGGGGAUUGUUCAGGAAGGAGAACAGCGAGAUACAGUUACAUCAACAAGGCGUAUAUCGUAUCAUAUUCCACCAAGAGGAAAACGUAUACAUAAUCAGUAAAAGCCAAAAUGCAGAACGUUCUUGUGACCAUCAUAUCCUGUGGGCAACGACCGUGGAUCUGUGCCAAAGCUAAACAAAUAUAAAUAUACCAUCUCGCAAACAAACACAAUCUGCUUUGCAAAAGGAAAUCUCGCCUCUCAAAUAAACAAAACGAUUUUCUCACAAAUGCAGCUAAGCAACUUCCUCUUCCAAACCAACAGAUUAAGUAGAGUGCAGUAAAUAGUGUUAAAAAAAUAAAUAAAAAAAAAUUCAUCCUGAAAUAAGGUCUGUGAUUAUUACAAAUACUGCAUAUAGAACCAAAUAAAAUGAAGUUCAUUUUAGAUUCCUGCACAAGAUCUAGCCAUGCAAUGCUCCAUCAGCAAUGCUCCAACAUCAUGAACAAUGCUCCAACAUCAUGAACAAUGCUCCAACAUCAUAACGCUCCAUUAUCGUCAUCAACGCUAAAUAUCAUCAUCAACGCUCCAUCAUCAUCAACACUCCAUCAUCAUCAUCAUAAACAACGCUCCAUCAUCAACGCUCCAUUAUCAUCAACACUCCAUCAUCAUCAACGCUCCAUCAUCAUCAUCAAAGCUCCAUCUUCAUCAACUCUCCAUCAUCAUCGCUCCAUCAUCAACAUCAUCAACGCUCCAUCAUCAUCAUCAACGCUCAAUCAUCAUCAACACUCCAUCAUCAUCAAUCAACGCUCAUCAUCAUCAUCAUCAUCAAACGCUCAAUCAUCAUCAACACUCCAUCAUCAUCAUCAUCAUCAUCAUCAUCAACGCUCCAUCAUCAUCGCUCCAUCAUCAUCAUCAUCAUCAUCAUCAACGCUCCAUCAUCAUCACACUCCAUCAUCAUCAUCAUCAUCAUCAACGCUCCAUCAUCAUCAUCAACGCUCCAUCAUCAUCAUCAACGCUCCAUCAUCAUCAUCAUCAUCAACGCUCCAACAUCAUCAAACGCUCCAUCAUCAUCAUCAUCAUCAACGCUCCAAAAUCAUCAUUAUAAACAACGCUCCAUCAUCAUCAACGCUCCAUCAUCAUCAUAAACAAUGCUCCAUUAUGAUCGCUCCAUCAUCAUCAACGCUCAUACAUCAUAAACAACGCUCCAUCAUCAUCAACGCUCCAUCAUUAUCAACACUCCAUCAUCAUCAUCAUCAUCAUCAUGAACAACGCUCCAUCAUCAUCAACGCUCCAUCAUCAUCAACGCUCCAUCAUCAUCAUCAACGCCCCAUCAUCAUCAUCAUCAAUGCUCCAUCAUCAUCAUCAACGCUAUCAUCAUCAUCAUCAAUGCUCCAUCAUCAUCAUCAACGCUACAUCAUCAUCAUCAUCAACGCUCAUCAUCAUCAUCAUCAUCAUCAACGCUCCCUCAUCAUCAACAAUCCAUCUCAUCAUCAUCAAUGCUCCAUCAUCAUCACGCUCCAUCAUCAACGCCCAUCAUCAUCAUCAACGCCAUCAUCAUAAUCAACGCUCCAUCAUCUCAUCAUCUCAACGCUCCAUCAUCAUCAUCAAUACUCAUCAUCAACGCUCCAACAUCAUCAUCAUACA